RNAcentral lists this ribosomal RNA (770 nucleotides) under uncultured Gammaproteobacteria bacterium. Its description in RNAcentral is "bacterial SSU rRNA". It matches the Rfam family "Bacterial small subunit ribosomal RNA", at positions 60 to 820 of the family's 1533-position model. Lineage: Bacteria; Pseudomonadati; Pseudomonadota; Gammaproteobacteria. The record is from RNAcentral.
AGUCGAGCGGUAACGACCUUCGGGUGCUGACGAGCGGCGGACGGGCCCCCUUUGCUUGGGAACUUGCCUUUAGGAGGGGGAUAACCAUUGGAAACGAUGGCUAAUACCGCAUAACGUCUACGGACCAAAGCAGGGGAUCUUCGGACCUUGCACCUAGAGAUAGGCCCAAGUGAGAUUAGCUAGUUGGUGGGGUAAAGGCCCACCAAGGCGACGAUCUCUAGCUGUUCUGAGAGGAUGAUCAGCCACACUGGGACUGAGACACGGCCCACACUCCUACGGGAGGCAGCAGUGGGGAAUAUUGCACAAUGGGGGAAACCCUGAUGCAGCCAUGCCGCGUGUGUGAAGAAGGCCUUCGGGUUGUAAAGCACUUUCAGUGGUGAGGAAGGCUUGUAGCUUAAUACGCUACAAGAUUGACGUUAGCCACAGAAGAAGCACCGGCUAACUCCGUGCCAGCAGCCGCGGUAAUACGGAGGGUGCAAGCGUUAAUCGGAAUUACUGGGCGUAAAGCGCACGUAGGCGGCUCAUUAAGCAAGAUGUGAAAGCCCCGGGCUCAACCUGGGAAUGGCAUUUUGAACUGGUGAGCUACAGUUUUGAAAAGGGUGGUCAAAUUUCCAGUGUACCCGGGAAAUGCGUACACAUUGGAAGGAAUACCAGUGGGCGAAAGCGGCCCCCCUGGUCUAAAACUGAACCUUGAGGAACCAAAAGUGUGGGGAGCACACACCGAUUAGAAACCCCGGGUAAUCCCACGCCCGAAAACAAUGUCAACUAGC